This 799-nucleotide ribosomal RNA is filed under the name uncultured Rhizophagus. Its description in RNAcentral is "SSU rRNA". It matches the Rfam family "Eukaryotic small subunit ribosomal RNA", at positions 314 to 1114 of the family's 1831-position model. The record is from RNAcentral. Lineage: Eukaryota; Fungi; Glomeromycota; Glomeromycetes; Glomerales; Glomeraceae.
AUCAACUUUCGAUGGUAGGAUAGAGGCCUACCAUGGUGGUAACGGGUAACGGGGUGUUAGGGCACGACACCGGAGAGGGAGCCUGAGAAACGGCUACCACAUCCAAGGAUGGCAGCAGGCGCGCAAAUUACCCAAUCCCGACACGGGGAGGUAGUGACAAUAAAUAACAAUACGGGGUUCUUUAGGAUCUCGUAAUUGGAAUGAGUACAAUUUAAAUCUCUUAACGAGGAACAAUUGGAGGGCAAGUCUGGUGCCAGCAGCCGCGGUAAUUCCAGCUCCAAUAGCGUAUAUUAAAGUUGUUGCAGUUAAAAAGCUCGUAGUUGAAUUUCGGGGUCAGUAGGUUGGUCGUGCCACCGGUACGUACUGGUCUCACUGAUUCCUCCUUCCUGAUGAGCUGUAAUGCCAUUAAUUUGGUGUUGCAGGGAAUCUGGACUGUUACUUUGAAAAAAUUAGAGUGUUUAAAGCAGGCUAGCGCUUGAAUACAUUAGCAUGGAAUAAUGAAAUAGGACGUUCGAUCCUAUUUUGUUGGUUUCUAGGAUUGACGUAAUGAUUAAUAGGGAUAGUUGGGGGCAUUAGUAUUCAAUUGUCAGAGGUGAAAUUCUUGGAUUUAUUGAAGACUAACUACUGCGAAAGCAUUUGCCAAGGAUGUUUUCAUUAAUCAAGAACGAAAGUUAGGGGAUCGAAGACGAUCAGAUACCGUCGUAGUCUUAACCAUAAACUAUGCCGACUAGGGAUCGGAUGAUGUUAAUUUUUUAAUGACUCAUUCGGCGCCUUACGGGAAACCAAAGUGUUUGGGUUC